AUACGGAUCUAUUUUGAUAUGAAAUUAUUAAGAUUCAGUUGAAAAUGUCAGUUGCUAUGGCUUUAUGAUAUAAAAAUAUGAAUUUGGAGCAAAGGUCAAAAUCUAGAACGUCAAAUUAACCUAUGACCUUGACCUCAAUUUCAAGGUCAUAAACAUAGGAUCCCAAAUCAAAAGACCCUAGGUCUGUAUUAUGUAUGGUUCAUGAGUAAUAUCACUUUACGCAUAAUUCUAAAUAUAAGAGGGGCAAAAACUCCCAUUUUUUGUCUACGCACCCUUCCAAUCAAAAUUUAUAAGUUACGACAUGUCGCAACUAACAAUUUAGUAAAAAUAAUUUGUCGAAAUCUUAUAAAGUUAAUGAAAAUAAGUGAAAAUAAGCCAAAAUCAAAAUUUAGAAUUUGACCUUGAC
RNAcentral lists this long non-coding RNA (406 nucleotides) under Mytilus galloprovincialis (Mediterranean mussel). The record is from RNAcentral. Lineage: Eukaryota; Metazoa; Mollusca; Bivalvia; Mytilida; Mytilidae.